This 236-nucleotide ribosomal RNA is filed under the name uncultured bacterium. Its description in RNAcentral is "partial 16S ribosomal RNA". It matches the Rfam family "Bacterial small subunit ribosomal RNA", at positions 96 to 334 of the family's 1533-position model. The record is from RNAcentral.
CGGCGAACGGGUGAGUAAUGCUUUCGGAAUCUUCCCAGUAGUGGGGAAUAACCAGUCGAAAGAUUGGCUAAUACCGCAUACGUCUGUAAAGGGAAAGCGGGGGCUCGUAAGACCUCGCGCUAUUGGAUGAGCCAAAGUCGGAUUAGCUUGUUGGUGGGGUAAUGGCCUACCAAGGCGACAAUCCGUAGCUGGUCUGAGAGGACGACCAGCCACACCGGAACUGAGACACGGUCCGG